RNAcentral lists this ribosomal RNA (372 nucleotides) under uncultured Mycobacterium sp. Its description in RNAcentral is "bacterial SSU rRNA". It matches the Rfam family "Bacterial small subunit ribosomal RNA", at positions 509 to 878 of the family's 1533-position model. The record is from RNAcentral. Lineage: Bacteria; Bacillati; Actinomycetota; Actinomycetes; Mycobacteriales; Mycobacteriaceae.
CAGCCCCCGCGGUAAUACGUAGGGUGCGAGCGUUGUCCGGAAUUACUGGGCGUAAAGAGCUCGUAGGUGGUUUGUCGCGUUGUUCGUGAAAACCGGGGGCUUAACCCUCGGCGUGCGGGCGAUACGGGCAGACUAGAGUACUGCAGGGGAGACUGGAAUUCCUGGUGUAGCGGUGGAAUGCGCAGAUAUCAGGAGGAACACCGGUGGCGAAGGCGGGUCUCUGGGCAGUAACUGACGCUGAGGAGCGAAAGCGUGGGGAGCGAACAGGAUUAGAUACCCUGGUAGUCCACGCCGUAAACGGUGGGUACUAGGUGUGGGUUUCCUCCCUUGGGAUCCGUGCCGUAGCUAACGCAAUAAGUAGGCCGCCUGUGA